AUUGAACGCUAGCGGGAUGCCUUACACAUGCAAGUCGAACGGAGUGGCGAACGGGUGAGUAAUGUAUCGGAACGUGCCCAGUAGCGGGGGAUAACUACGCGAAAGCGUAGCUAAUACCGCAUACUAUUGGAGCCGCAGAUCGCGGAGUGGCUAGGUGGUGGGGGAAGGGCUAACCAAGGGGACGAUCCGUAGCUGGUUUGAGAGGACGACCAGCAACACUGGGACUGAGACACGGCCCAGACUCCUACGGGAGGCAGCAGUGGGGAAUUUUGGACAAUGGGGGAACCCCUGAUCCAGCCAUCCCGCGUGUGCGAUGAAGGCCUUCGGGUUGUAAAGCACGUUCAGCGGGGAGGCGUUACCCGCAGAAGAAGCACCGGCUAACUCCGUGCCAGCAGCCGCGGUAAUUC
RNAcentral lists this ribosomal RNA (407 nucleotides) under uncultured bacterium. RNAcentral's name for it is "partial 16S ribosomal RNA". It matches the Rfam family "Bacterial small subunit ribosomal RNA", at positions 29 to 526 of the family's 1533-position model. The record is from RNAcentral.